UACGGGGGGGGCAAGCGUUGUUCGGAAUUACUGGGCGUAAAGGGCUCGUAGGCGGCCAACUAAGUCAUACGUGAAAUCCCUCGGCUUAACCGGGGAACUGCGUCUGAUACUGGAUGGCUUGAGUUCGGGAGAGGGAUGCGGAAUUCCAGGUGUAGCGGUGAAAUGCGUAGAUAUCUGGAGGAACACCGGUGGCGAAGGCGGCAUCGUGGACCGAUACUGACGCUGAGGAG
Molecule: ribosomal RNA, 230 nt
Filed under: uncultured bacterium
Lineage: Bacteria
Description: partial 16S ribosomal RNA
Rfam family: Bacterial small subunit ribosomal RNA
Source: RNAcentral